This 2668-nucleotide long non-coding RNA is filed under the name Gallus gallus (chicken). RNAcentral describes it as "lncRNA (ENSGALG00010012886.1)". The record is from RNAcentral. Lineage: Eukaryota; Metazoa; Chordata; Aves; Galliformes; Phasianidae.
CCAACCGCUCCUCUGCACAGGGCUCCGUUUGGCUGCAAAACUGGGCAAGGCCAGCUGGGGACAGGCCCUGGUGCCAGGAGAAUGGAGAGCCCCCAGGGGUCGGCAAAGGAGGACAAGAUGUCUCUCUGCUUUGUUCUGCCUCCUCAGAAGUCGAUCAGGCACCAGAAAUUUCCUGACGUUCCUCAAAGAGGGGCAGGCAGCUGAGGCCGUUGCAAGAGGAGGAGUCCCGCAAGCCUUCCCUCUAUGGGGCUGAGCGUGCUGACCCCAACCCCGCUCCCACGCCAGCGUCAGCCCCGGGGAUAACAGAGCCUAGCACGGGGUUCCCCGGGAGCUCGCCAACCCCACGCGAUGGCGUGUUCUCCUUGUCACCUCCGUGGGUGAUGGGCUGACGGUUGGACUAGAAGAUCUUCGUGUUUUCUCCAACCUGAGUGAUUCUGUGAUACAUUAAAUGAAGCACCGCGGGACUGUCCCCUGGGCUCCCGGCUGUGCUGGUGGCCCCGUGUGGCACUGAGCAUCCCUGCUGGGCUCCUCUCCUCAGGAUCCACUGCUCUUCCACCACAGCGAUGCUGCACCGUGCCACAAACCCCCGGGUGGAAUGGACAUCACAGCUGCCCCAGGGCUCGGCGUGCUGCAGCUCUUAGCCCACAGCAGAGACAGGGAUGGAGCUGCUCCAGCAUAGGCUCUGCUGGUCCAGCCUGCUUUUGCAGCCUGCUCUUCUCCAAAGCUGCAUCCCUGAAGAUGCUGAAGUCAGGCUGUUAUUGCAGAGGAAACCUGUGGAGAGAGACACGUGGGGUUUGAGGAUUAGCUGCUGAAACAGAUGGGAAUUUCCCGGAGCAAGGAGCUGAGGAGGGCAGGGAGGGCUCCUAUACAGCGGGGCUGCUGCCAGCCACGUGGGCUGUGUGAGGACCCCGGGAUGCCCACUGCCUCCCCACAGCGCUGCUGCUGACUCACAUCUCCGCGGGGAGCGGCACACGGCAGCUGUGCGCCCACCCCCUGCACUGCGCACCAGAGCUGGGCACCGGCAUGCUGCAGGGCUGGCAGCCCGUCCUGUUUGGGGACGGUGUCUCCGUGGGGUCCCAGAAGCACUGUCUCUCAUAGAGGCUGCUCCUUGCACACUGCUUUGUGCCCCGAUGCCGCCUGGUGCAUCUCCCACAAGCAGUUCGUGCAGCACUGGCACCGGGAGGCUGUCUGCCUGCAGGGCCCGACGGGAGCUGUGCCGUAUGCUCCGUGUCCCUCCUGCUUACUCUCUCCCUCCAGCUCUUGCACUGCACUUGCAGCAUGUGUCAUAUCCCAUUGAUGUCACCCGCCGUCCCCUGCCUCGUCCCUGCCUGCAGGGCUGCCUGUGCCAGUGGCUGCAAUAAGGGCACCCUGGGGCUCCGCAUCCCCCUGUGUUGGUCCCAGGGCAUAGGCAAUGCCAGCUGGGGGCUGAGCCCCGCAGCCAGGCCUGAACACUGCAAGCAGCGGUUCUGCACAUAGCAACAGAGAGAAUGCAGCACGAUCACAGCUCACGCUCCUUCCUGCCGCUUGGAAGUGUCUAGAGAGCUGAAAAAGCUGCAAGACGUUCUUGCUGCCAUCCUUCUCCCUGCUAGCUUCUUCAUGCUCUGGCUGUGUUUUGAGCCCCCUUUCUGGGGGGGCACAGCACUUCCCCAGACCAAUGGAUACCGAUUUGGCGUGAUGAGGGCUGCAGACAUCCCGCAGCAUGCUGCCCGCCGCGCAGGGCUGGCUGACUCAUCGCCAUGCAGCAUGCAAUUACAAAGGCAAGUGCAGGCCCCUACUGCUUUGCACAGGUAUCUGUGUCAGCCGGGGCUAUUUCCAUCUCUCCCGUGCACUCUCGGCUCAUUAGGAGGGGAAGGAACACAGCCACAGAGCUCACCUGCCUGCCACAGGACUGGGCAUAAUAUUCCAGUGAGCAGAGAGCCAGAAGGGGAAUUACAACCGAGUGACACAAUGGGGGGAGGAGGCAGCAGGGUGCAUUGCCCACACAUCCCACAUACUCACAGCUGCACACGCAGACCGAGCAGGGGUGUGGAGGUGCACCGUGGUGCAGAGCACCAUUGCCAUGAACUCAGAGGUUCCUGGCCGGAAUCCAAGCGAGGGCUGCAGCCUUCCAUCUGCAAGCACCGUUUGCUACAGGGGUUUAGCAACCGGGGCUGUCACAACUGCAGCAGCUGCAGAACCCUCGGCCAUGAGUGGGAGCAGCUCUGCCGUUGCGUCACUGCUUUGUGCAGUGUAGCACAGGGGAUGGAAUGCCCGGCUGCAGUGUGAGGCAGCGUGUGCUGAGCAAAGCAGUGCCCCAUCCUGUUCUCAUACAAGUGCACUUCUCGUGUGUACUUGUUAUUUUCUAACUAUUUGGUAAUGUUCAUUUCAUUUACUGCACGCAUAAGUGAGCAAAUAUGACAUAUACAAAUGUCGGGAAGUAAUUCAGUUUGUUAAGCUUCUUCAUUAAAAGAACUCUGUAUUAUUAAAGUAUCUACACUGUCAUGGGCUGGUAUCCCAUUAGCAACCUUAAUAAGAAAUGCUGUUUAUCCAUUCAGAAACAGAUCUCUGGGGCAUGCAUUUGGCAGCGUGCGUUGAGUCAGUGGUGGCAACCGGCAGCAUCUCUGUGUGCCUGGUCACAGGACAGCGUUUCCCACCCUGAGCUCAUGACCAGGCCAAAAACUUCACCUGC